This 556-nucleotide small RNA is filed under the name Pongo abelii (Sumatran orangutan). RNAcentral describes it as "processed transcript". The record is from RNAcentral. Lineage: Eukaryota; Metazoa; Chordata; Mammalia; Primates; Hominidae.
AAUUCUUCCACCCGGCACCGGCUCCGCAAUGAACAACUUCAGGUUCACUGAGCUGAGCGGAUUCCACUCGCUGUGCCCUCGGAGCCUGCCUGAAUCUCCCGCCCAGUCUCAAACCAGGCAGCCGAGUAACUGCAAGGGCGCCUUUGAGGAGUAGCACGCAGAGAGUGUCAAUGAAGACCUCAAAGUCUGGAGAAAAAUGACCUUUCAUGGAAUAAGAAGUAUACCUCCUUCUACAUGUUUUUGUCUUACUGACCUCUGAUAACUGAAACACAUGACUCUGGGUCUGUAGAAAGUCAACUGAUCAAACUCAUCCUCACCAUGCAUCAACUGUUCAGACUGGUUUUGGGACAAAAAGAUCUUUCACGAGCUGGGGACCUCUUCUCCUUAGAUGACUCUGAGAUUGAAGACAGCCUGACAGAAGCUUUGGAGCAAAUUAAGAUAAUUAGCUCAUCUUCAUCUGUGGAAAGGCAAGAGUGAAAUCACAAAGGCCAGUUAAGUGGCUACUGAAAUAAUUCAGAUAAGAAGCAGCAGAGUUUCUGACCAUCAUGGAGCAGUG